UUGAACGCUGGCGGCAUGCCUUACACAUGCAAGUCGAACGGUAACGCGGGGCAACCUGGCGACGAGUGGCGAACGGGUGAGUAAUACAUCGGAACGUGCCCAGUAGUGGGGGAUAGCCCGGCGAAAGCCGGAUUAAUACCGCAUACGACCUACGGGUGAAAGCGGGGGAUCGAAAGACCUCGCGCUAUUGGAGCGGCCGAUGUCAGAUUAGGUAGUUGAUGGGGUAAAGGCCUACCAAGCCGACGAUCUGUAGCUGGUCUGAGAGGACGACCAGCCACACUGGGACUGAGACACGGCUCAGACUCCUACGGGGGGCAGCAGUGGGGAAUUUUGGACAAUGGGGGCAACCCUGAUCCAGCCAUGCCGCGUGCGGGAAGAAGGCCUUCGGGUUGUAAACCGCCUUUGUCAGGGAAGAAACGCACUGAGCUAAUACCUCGGUGUAAUGACGGUACCUGAAGAAUAAGCACCGGCUAACUACGU
RNAcentral lists this ribosomal RNA (480 nucleotides) under uncultured bacterium. RNAcentral describes it as "bacterial SSU rRNA". It matches the Rfam family "Bacterial small subunit ribosomal RNA", at positions 29 to 506 of the family's 1533-position model. The record is from RNAcentral.